CAAUGGCACUGCCCGGUAGCUAAAUGCGGAAGAGAUAAGUGCUGAAAGCAUCUAAGCACGAAACUUGCCCCGAGAUGAGUUCUCCCUGAGACUUUAGGUCUCCUGAAGGAACGUUGAAGACGACGACGUUGAUAGGCCGGGUGUGUAAGCGCAGCGAUGCGUUGAGCUAACCGGUACUAAUGAACCGUGAGGCUUAACCUUAC
RNAcentral lists this ribosomal RNA (203 nucleotides) under Salmonella enterica subsp. enterica serovar Kentucky str. 29439. RNAcentral's name for it is "partial 23S ribosomal RNA". It matches the Rfam family "Bacterial large subunit ribosomal RNA", at positions 2730 to 2925 of the family's 2925-position model. Lineage: Bacteria; Pseudomonadati; Pseudomonadota; Gammaproteobacteria; Enterobacterales; Enterobacteriaceae. The record is from RNAcentral.